Molecule: transfer RNA, 69 nt
Filed under: Acrossocheilus fasciatus
Lineage: Eukaryota; Metazoa; Chordata; Actinopteri; Cypriniformes; Cyprinidae
Also listed under: 3 other names
Description: tRNA-Ala
Rfam family: tRNA
About the family: Transfer RNA (tRNA) molecules are approximately 80 nucleotides in length. Their secondary structure includes four short double-helical elements and three loops (D, anti-codon, and T loops). Further hydrogen bonds mediate the characteristic L-shaped molecular structure. tRNAs have two regions of fundamental functional importance: the anti-codon, which is responsible for specific mRNA codon recognition, and the 3' end, to which the tRNAs corresponding amino acid is attached (by aminoacyl-tRNA synthetases). tRNAs cope with the degeneracy of the genetic code in two manners: having more than one tRNA (with a specific anti-codon) for a particular amino acid; and 'wobble' base-pairing, i.e. permitting non-standard base-pairing at the 3rd anti-codon position.
Source: RNAcentral
AAGGCCUUAGCUUAAUUAAAGCGUCUGAUUUGCAAUCAGAAGAUGUAAGUUAAUCCCUUGUAGGUCUUA